This 540-nucleotide ribosomal RNA is filed under the name uncultured bacterium. RNAcentral's name for it is "bacterial SSU rRNA". It matches the Rfam family "Bacterial small subunit ribosomal RNA", at positions 356 to 896 of the family's 1533-position model. The record is from RNAcentral.
GAGGAAUAUUGCUCAAUGGGCGAAAGCCUGAAGCAGCAACGCCGCGUGCGGGAUGAAGGCCCUAUGGGUUGUAAACCGCUGUAGAAAGGGAAAAAUGUCCGCCUCUGGCGGAUGGGAUGGUACCUUUAAAGUAAGCCACGGCAAACUACGUGCCAGCAGCCGCGGUAAUACGUAGGUGGCAAGCGUUGUCCGGAAUCACUGGGUGUAAAGGGUGCGCAGGCGGAAAGGUAAGUGAGAGGUGAAAUCGUACGGCUUAACCGUGCAACUGCCUCUCAUACUGCUUUUCUUGAGUACGGAAGAGAAUGAUGGAAUUCCUGGUGUAGCGGUGAAAUGCGUAGAUAUCAGGAAGAACACCAGUGGCGAAGGCGGUCAUUUGGUCCGUUACUGACGCUCAUGCACGAAAGCGUGGGGAUCAAACAGGAUUAGAUACCCUGGUAGUCCACGCCCUAAACGAUGAUUACUUGAUGUUGGCUUCGGUAGGAGUCAGUACCGCAGAUAACUCGGUAAGUAAUCCACCUGGGAAGUACGCUCGCAAGGGUG